Molecule: ribosomal RNA, 372 nt
Filed under: uncultured organism
Description: bacterial SSU rRNA
Rfam family: Bacterial small subunit ribosomal RNA
Source: RNAcentral
CGUAGGAGGCAAGCGUUGUCCGGAGUUACUGGGCGUAAAGCGCGCGCAGGCGGCCCUGUGCGCUGCCGGUGAAAGCUCCCGGCUCACCUGGGAGAGGUUCGGCAGGACGGCAGGGCUUGAGGGCGGUAGAGGGUGGUGGAAUUCCCGGUGUAGUGGUGAAAUGCGUAGAGAUCGGGAGGGACACCCGUAGCGAAGGCGGCCACCUGGGCCGACCCUGACGCUGAGGCGCGAAGGCCAGGGGAGCGAACGGGAUUAGAUACCCCGGUAGUCCUGGCAGUAAACGAUGUCGACUGGUCGUCGGGGGGCUCGACCCCCUCGGCGGCGGAGCUAACGCGGGAAGUCGACCGCCUGGGGAGUACGGCCGCAAGGCUA